CGGCGUCCACAGAUGCACAGGGAACAGCCUGUGGUUCUUGCGGUCUGCACUAGGGUGCGAGAGUAAAGACCCCCAUGCUUCUGCCUGUCUUCGUGGCGGCCCCGAUUGACCUGGGGACUACGUCG
This 125-nucleotide small nucleolar RNA is filed under the name Jaculus jaculus (lesser Egyptian jerboa). RNAcentral's name for it is "Small nucleolar RNA SNORA31 (ENSJJAG00000005884.1)". It matches the Rfam family "Small nucleolar RNA SNORA31". From Rfam's summary of the family: ACA31 (SNORA31) belongs to the H/ACA class of snoRNAs which are thought to guide the sites of modification of uridines to pseudouridines. ACA31 is predicted to guide the pseudouridylation of U3713 in 28S rRNA and U218 in 18S rRNA. This family includes the mouse homologue snoMBI-161. The record is from Rfam by way of RNAcentral. Lineage: Eukaryota; Metazoa; Chordata; Mammalia; Rodentia; Dipodidae.